Polypterus senegalus (gray bichir) is the source of this 317-nucleotide long non-coding RNA. RefSeq lists it as uncharacterized. The transcript is spliced from 3 exons. The record is from RefSeq and is a predicted model, not a curated record. Lineage: Eukaryota; Metazoa; Chordata; Cladistia; Polypteriformes; Polypteridae.
UUAAGGGCAAGUAGGUGAGCAGUGCGCAUGUGUGAGAGGCGGUCCCGUGUAGAUAGAUACAUCUGGAGACCUGCUCAUUGUCAGCUGAAUGCAGUUCUUGAAUGGGGAAAUAGCCGAAGUGCAGUUGUGGUGAAAGUGAACCGAAGCAAGCUGAAGACAACGAUCACAAACCAUAAUGAGUGUGGUAUAACCAGAAGCAGAGGAUAUCAGUAAAUCCUUUAAACUAUGAGUAACCGCUCUUUCAUUACUGUGGCAGACUAUCUACGGGAAAUCCCACAAGGUUCCUGUGCCUCUGAUGAUGUCACUUCCAUUUCCGG